This 548-nucleotide ribosomal RNA is filed under the name Pseudomonas cedrina. Its description in RNAcentral is "bacterial SSU rRNA". It matches the Rfam family "Bacterial small subunit ribosomal RNA", at positions 8 to 553 of the family's 1533-position model. The record is from RNAcentral. Lineage: Bacteria; Pseudomonadati; Pseudomonadota; Gammaproteobacteria; Pseudomonadales; Pseudomonadaceae.
AGAGUUUGAUCCUGGCUCAGAUUGAACGCUGGCGGCAGGCCUAACACAUGCAAGUCGAGCGGUAGAGAGAAGCUUGCUUCUCUUGAGAGCGGCGGACGGGUGAGUAAUGCCUAGGAAUCUGCCUGGUAGUGGGGGAUAACGUUCGGAAACGGACGCUAAUACCGCAUACGUCCUACGGGAGAAAGCAGGGGACCUUCGGGCCUUGCGCUAUCAGAUGAGCCUAGGUCGGAUUAGCUAGUUGGUGAGGUAAUGGCUCACCAAGGCGACGAUCCGUAACUGGUCUGAGAGGAUGAUCAGUCACACUGGAACUGAGACACGGUCCAGACUCCUACGGGAGGCAGCAGUGGGGAAUAUUGGACAAUGGGCGAAAGCCUGAUCCAGCCAUGCCGCGUGUGUGAAGAAGGUCUUCGGAUUGUAAAGCACUUUAAGUUGGGAGGAAGGGUUGUAGAUUAAUACUCUGCAUUUUUGACGGUACCGACAGAAUAAGCACCGGCUACCUUGUGCCCAGCAGCCGGGUAAUACAAAGGGUGCAGCGUUAAUCGGAAUAC